RNAcentral lists this ribosomal RNA (467 nucleotides) under uncultured bacterium. Its description in RNAcentral is "partial 16S ribosomal RNA". It matches the Rfam family "Bacterial small subunit ribosomal RNA", at positions 28 to 507 of the family's 1533-position model. The record is from RNAcentral.
GACGAACGCUGGCGGCGUGCUUAACACAUGCAAGUCGAACGGUGAUGCUCCAGCUUGCUGGAGUGGAUCAGUGGCGAACGGGUGAGUAACACGUGAGCAACCUGCCCCAGACUCUGAAUAAGCGCUGGAAACGGCGUCUAAUACUGGAUACGAAACUGGCCCGCAUGGGCAUGGUUUGGAAAGUUUUUCGGUUUGGGAUGGGCUCGCGGCCUAUCAGCUUGUUGGUGAGGUAAUGGCUCACCAAGGCGACGACGGGUAGCCGGCCUGAGAGGGCGACCGGCCACACUGGGACUGAGACACGGCCCAGACUCCUACGGGAGGCAGCAGUGGGGAAUAUUGCACAAUGGGCGAAAGCCUGAUGCAGCGACGCCGCGUGAGGGAUGACGGCCUUCGGGUUGUAAACCUCUUUCAGCAGGGAAGAAGCGAAAGUGACGGUACCUGCAGAAGAAGCACCGGCUAACUACGUG